This 251-nucleotide long non-coding RNA is filed under the name Mytilus galloprovincialis (Mediterranean mussel). The record is from RNAcentral. Lineage: Eukaryota; Metazoa; Mollusca; Bivalvia; Mytilida; Mytilidae.
AACUAGUAUAAAAAAGAAGAUGUGGUAUGAUUGCCAAUGAGACAACUAUCUACAAAAAACCAAAAUGACACAGACAUUAACAACUAUAGGUCACCGUACGGCCUUCAACAAUGAGCAAAGCCCAUACCGCAUAGUCAGCUAUAAAAGGCCGCGAUAAGACAAUGUAAAACAAUUCAAACGAGAAAACUAACGGCCUUAUUUAUGUAAUAAAAAUGAACGAAAAACAAAUAUGUAACACAUAAACAAACGAC